Molecule: long non-coding RNA, 2883 nt
Organism: Salvelinus fontinalis (brook trout)
Lineage: Eukaryota; Metazoa; Chordata; Actinopteri; Salmoniformes; Salmonidae
Exons: 3
Source: RefSeq, a predicted model, not a curated record
GGAGGCUGGGCAGAGAGUUCAGCCCAAGCUGAGCCGCUACACGGUUGCAUCUACCAUCUGUACAUUCAGAAAUGAGAACCGCGCAACUGAAUCCGGAUGAAACAGGUCUACAGGGUGCCAUUUGAGCGAAACUGAGAGGGCUAAAGAACAGUGCUAUGAAUAUGUGCAAAGUCAUGGAGCUGGAUGCCACUGCAAUGCAGCACGUUUAUAUUUACAUUGUUGAUGCUGGCUUCAACCUAGCCAAAAGAAGGGGACGGAGACAGAACAUUAUUGGCCAUUGUGAAUGUCCAUGGACAGCGUGGAGGGAAUAUCACCAUUUUCGCAUUUCCACCAUUUCUACCUGGCUGCUCUGGUCUGCAACUGGUUCAUCGACCACCCACAAUGUAUUGUUUUAUACCUCCCACCACAUUCCCCAUUCCUAAACCCAAAUGAAGAGUUUUUUUCAGCAUGGAGAUGGAAGGUGUAUGACCACCAUCCCCUCGCACGGAUGCCUCUUCUCCAGGCAAUGGAGGAUUGAUGUGGGGGCUUUUGGCGGCUGCAUCCGUCACUCCAGAAGAUUCUUUCCCCGCUGUUUAGCCAGGGAGAACAUCUCUUGUGAUGUAGAAUGGGUGCUGUGGCCAGACAAAUUAAAAUAGUAUUUAUUCUUACAUUUUACAUGUUGUUUUUUUCUUUUUGUGUUUAGAGUUUUGAAAGAAUGAGCCUCUUUCAUUUUUUUAUUGUUGUACAGAAAACCCUUUAUCUUACUGAAUGUUUUUCUUGGUUUUCUCCUGUUGGGUAUGGAAAGUGUUACAUACAAAACACAAGUGUUAAAAAAUACUGCAUUUUGGAAAUAAAUGACUGUUUUUGUUACUGUAUUGCAUUUGUGUGUGUUUAUGUAUAUUUGAGUAGGUAUUACUGUAACAUUAUUUUACAACCGGCUACAGUGUAAUACUGAAAAUGCAGAAGGCAUAAACCUACUGAUGGAAUAUUCAUGGUAGUGUUUCGUGUUGAGCACAUCAGUGUGUUGGUUGGUAGACAGAUCUAUUCAUGACGUGUGUCAUUUUGAUGCAAAAAAGCAUUUUGGAAAGAGAACAGUUUUGAAUGCAGUGUUUGCUUUUGCUAGAGAUUUGUAGAGUUUUGGGAAAAUGGGCCAAAGAUUCAGCAAACGUGUGGAAAACUGUAAACCACUUUAUGUCAAAAUUAGAAAAGUGUUGUCACGUUCUGACCAUAGUUAUUUUGUGUUUUCUUUGUUUUAGUGUUGGUCAGGACGUGAGCUGAGUAGGCAUUCUAUGUUGUGUGUCUAGUUUUCAGGUUUCUAUGUUUGGCCUGAUAUGGUUCUCAAUCAGAGGCAGGUGUUAGUCAUUGUCUCUGAUUGGGAACCAUAUUUAGGUAGCCUGUUUUGUGUUGGGUUUUGUGGGUGGUUGUCUUUGUCUAUGCACCAGAUAGGACUGUUUUGGUUUUUCACAUUUGUUGGUGUAUUUUGUAGUGUUCACGUUUAUUGUCUUAAAGUCAUGAUGAACAUUAACCACGCUGCGCUUUGGUCCGAUCCCUGCUACACCUCUUCAGACGAAGAGGAGGAAAUCUGCCGUUACACGUGUAAUAUCUGAAAAUGUAUCUUGCUAGACUAUUUUACCCGUAUACAUUAUCCAUGGAUGGAUGUGUCUCCUGUCAGAUGCCAUGGUUGCCCUUAGUUUGAAGAUGUAAUCCAGAAGCAGGUGUUUUCUCCAUCUCCUUAGCUUUCAUACUCGAAUUCCACUGAUUUCAAAACUCAGUCAUCCAGAAAGUGGAGAGAGACACUUAUGCAGUUUUAAUACACAUACUGACCAGACAUACUGACCAGCUCAAAGAGACGUGUUCUAUAUGGCAGAUCAAUCCAAACUCAUAUCUCGGGCAUGUCCAGCCCACUCAUCUCAGACGAUCAUCGGUAGUGGGAAGGUUGCUGAUUUUUUUUUUCUGUGGCUAAACCAACUAGGCUCGUAAUUGUACAAUUUUAUUUGUAUUUACAGGUGAAAAACCCGAACUCACUGAAAUAUUCCUGAAGUCUAAUUUUUUAGUAGAAGAGUUCAGAGCAAACGGACACAUUUCUGAGACAGCCUUCAUCAGUGUUUGGAAAACAAUAGGCAUUCACCCAUAUAUAUAAAAAUGACGUCACAUUGUAGUACUGCUUCUUAAUUUUUUAGCAAUCAUUAUUUACAUUCAUUAUGCAAAUACAUUAACAUGUACCCAAUCAGCAUUUCCUAUCUACCCUCCCCUCAGGCAAUUUCCCCUGUCAUAAGUUUGUAAACUGUAAUGCAAUAAUGAAGGGAGAUUUCUUUCUUCACUCUCGUACGGGAAAGAAAAUGUAUGUCAGGGGUAGAAUAUCUUGUAAAACCACAUUUGUGGUCUAUUUACUGAAGUGUCCAUGUAAUUAUUUUGUAAAGUCUAAGAGAAUUUAACAUUUGUAUUAAAGUGCAAGAGCAACAUCAAAACUAGUGACGAGAAGUCCCCUGUAGCCAGACACUUUAAUCAUUCCCUCCAGGAUUCAACAAUCGCAAUGAUAUUUUUUGCGAUAUCAACAAUUUCCCGCAAGUUAUGCAAGGGCUUGCAAAUGUCCAAUCACUGCACUAUUUCAGCAUAAAACAUUAAAACCAUUGCAAUAUUAUUGCAUAAAACAGAAUCCCCACAGUACAAAAAGAGGGAUAGCAAUUUCAAUCAAUCACUGCAUAUUUACCUCAAGCAUUUUUGCCUGCAAAUAUUACAAAAAAAAUGCUGUGAAAUCCUGGAGGGACUGUUACAGGGAGUAAGACAUGAUGUGUGCUAACUGAGGUUCCAGGGCAUGGAAGUUGUACAGCCACCAAAGAGAGGAGCUGAUAGAUCGCAAUUAAUGUUGCAGACAGAGGCAUAUUAUAUCCAUGCCCUACAAAC